RNAcentral lists this ribosomal RNA (468 nucleotides) under uncultured bacterium. RNAcentral's name for it is "partial 16S ribosomal RNA". It matches the Rfam family "Bacterial small subunit ribosomal RNA", at positions 28 to 507 of the family's 1533-position model. The record is from RNAcentral.
GACGAACGCUGGCGGCGUGCUUAACACAUGCAAGUCGAACGAUGAUGCCAGCUUGCUGGUGGAUUAGUGGCGAACGGGUGAGUAACACGUGAGCAACCUGCCCCUGACUUCGGGAUAACCGCGGGAAACCGUGGCUAAUACCGGAUAUGACGCGCUAUCGCAUGGUGGUGUGUGGAAAGAUUUAUCGGUUGGGGAUGGGCUCGCGGCCUAUCAGCUUGUUGGUGGGGUGAUGGCCUACCAAGGCGACGACGGGUAGCCGGCCUGAGAGGGUGACCGGCCACACUGGGACUGAGACACGGCCCAGACUCCUACGGGGGGCCGCAGUGGGGGAUAUUGCACACUGGGCGCAAGCCUGAUGCAGCGACGCCGCGUGAGGGAUGACGGCCUUCGGGUUGUAAACCUCUUUCAGUAGGGAAGAAGGCCUUCGGGUUGACGGUACCUGCAGAAGAAGCGCCGGCUAACUACGUG